This is a long non-coding RNA of Cyprinus carpio carpio, 2449 nucleotides long. The record is from Ensembl. Lineage: Eukaryota; Metazoa; Chordata; Actinopteri; Cypriniformes; Cyprinidae.
UAUAUUUGUAAAAUUUGUCUACUUACUAGCAUGACUUCUUCAUCCGUUUCAGUCCCCGUUGCAAACACAGUGCCAUCAUCAGAGCUGGUGGGAGCGGCAAAGUCUGGUGCUUGGCCACAGCUGCAGUUAAAAGCUUCCUCGAGUUUCUAAGUGCCUGGGAUGCUAGACGCAUCAUGUUCACUUGGCACACAUUCUGACUGUAUUGGGAUACCGAAAUUCUCGUAAAGUCUUGCUGCCGUUUUGAUUCCAGUAGCUGUAGAUGUAGAUGCAAGGGAAUCGUUCCCUUUAGCUUUAUCUGCUUUUUGGCUUCCACUUGACCUGGAUUUGUGACUGAUAAAAUGCGAAGAAUGCCUCCGUUUGACAUGAUAGUAAAAUGAGUUGUACUCCUGACAGCAACCAUCAAUCCCACAGACCACAUUAAAAUCCGGGCUGGAACUAUGCACAGUGUUUUUGUGACUCAACAAAGCUCUUAAUGAAAAUGCCACAAACAGGCAGCAAAUAACACAACGCAAAAUCAUUUACAUGGAAAAAGCGAAUCAGUCUUACUAUUUUUACCCCAUUGUCUGUAUGUGUCUGUCCCACUGAAAGCAAUCAGAAGAAAGGAAGUGAUUAAAACUUUUAGUCCAAUCAAGGUGGCGGAAUAUUCCAUCGUACUUAAAGUAUGGAGGUGAAAUCAUAAAGCAUUAUUCCUUUUGAAUUUAUUUUAAGUUGUAGAACACUUACGGAAAGUAGUACUAAGAGGAAAUUGUGGCGGAGUGACUGUGAUGGGGCGGAACCAAAAAUGAGGAAGAUUAGUUCCGCCCGGACCAUAUAUCGCAAACACCGCCACUUCCGGGAAAGCCGGCGAACACAAAUCGGCGUGCUAUUGGGAACGGGUGUCUUGUUGAGCGUGGCGAUCACUGAUUGGGCAAUUUGGUGAAGAGGAGACACAUAAAUAGGGCACACAGGAAGGGCCUGGUGAUUCCCAGUAGUUACUGUGGGCGCAACGGAGCGGAGGAGAGAGUUGGAGAGAGAGUGUAUGGUGUACUGCGGAGCUUGGGCAAAGAGAGAUACACAUACAGGGCUGAGUAUACGAAUAUCUUUAUUGGAGCAUUGUGUUCAGAUGCAUUGUGUGAUGUGAAGUUAACACACAUUGAAGAUCUGCUAGGAUUGCAGGAAGGAGAUCGUGCUGCCAGUUGUGUCGGAUGUCGGUUAUCUGGAAGAGAAGUGGAGAGAUCCAGUGUUAAUGAAAGUGAUUGGUGGGUGAGCCGGAACCAGCGAAAAAGGAGUCUGGUGCCUUGUCGUGGCUGUGACGUUCCCUCUGGCCGUCUGCUGCAUCGGUGCCCCCAACGUCCAGGAACUAAUCCCCGGUCCUAUGUGGUUUUGACCCUAAUUCACUGUGAGUGUGUGGAGUGUAGUGGGCGAGUCCUUUUCUUUGCUGUGUGUAUACUUGAAGUCUGCAGUGUCGUGCUGUGUCAUGUUGUCAGUCAUCACCCUCUAGGCUGGGAGAGAAAACCCUGUGGAGAAGAACGUGCACCGGUGUUGUGAGACGACCGUCUUUUAUAUACAUGCCCGCUCGCGGCUUUGGACCCCUACUCCGCCGAGUGGCGACGUGCCAACAAUAGCAAGUAAGGAACAGUGUGCAUAUUGUGGGGGACGACGACUGAGAGAAGUGUGGGCUGCUAUAUGAACAUCCAGCUGUGUAGCCCUUGUGUAUGAAUACCUGUUUGGGGAGUACUUUCAGAGGUUCGCCCCUGUCUAGAUCUCUGGUCCGUUGUUUGGAAGAGAGGAGAGGGAAGCGUUCGAGUCAUUCCUGAGGUACAUACCCGGUGACACAAACCUACCUGAAGUCACUCAGCGUGGUGGCACCAGCUGAGGCCGUGGAAGGCCCAACGUGCAGCGACUUCAAUCUGUACUUCUAUCCACUCUUGGUCAAAUUCGAGAGGUGGUGUGUCUUUCUCCAUAUAUUCACUGAAGCUAAGUAAAUUUGUGAAGGAACUCUGUCUGUCUGUUACUAGUCCUACAGGUCUGAGCUUGAGGCUCUGAGUCGUCGUGGGAGUGUUUCCACGGUUGGAGGUGACCGUGUUGAGUGUUGGUCUGGGAAGUCUGCCCUGGUGAAGAAGACCACAGUUGUCGUGACAUAUACAUCUUCUCUAGACUCCCGAGCUGAAAAGGGCUAAAGCCUGACGUCCACCUCUUCGAGGGUCUGUGAGUUGUAUCCAUUCAGUAUUGUCAUUGUAUAUCCACCUGCAUGCCCAGAGCAAAGCUCCAGUUGCCCCUGUAUGCCCAUCUGUACGCCUCAAGCUAAGAGCCAGCGUAUUGCCCUUGUAUACUUACCUGUAUGCCUAAAGUCAAGCUCCAGUUGCCCCUGUAUACCCAUCUGUACGCCUCAAGCUAAGAGCCAGCGUAUUGCCCUUGUAUACUUACCUGUAUACCCCUCUGUACGCCUCAAGCUAAGAGCCAGUGUAUU